RNAcentral lists this ribosomal RNA (228 nucleotides) under Clostridioides difficile. RNAcentral describes it as "partial 23S ribosomal RNA". It matches the Rfam family "Bacterial large subunit ribosomal RNA", at positions 2695 to 2925 of the family's 2925-position model. Lineage: Bacteria; Bacillati; Bacillota; Clostridia; Peptostreptococcales; Peptostreptococcaceae. The record is from RNAcentral.
GGAUGGACGUACCUCUGGUGUACCAGUUGUCCUGCCAAGGGCAUGGCUGGGUAGCUAUGUACGGAAUGGAUAAGCGCUGAAAGCAUCUAAGCGCGAAGCCAACUUCAAGAUAAGAUUUCCCACCGCAAGGGUAAGACUCCAGAAAGACUAUCUGGUUGAUAGGUCGAAGGUGUAAGUGCAGCAAUGUAUUUAGCUUAUCGAUACUAAUAGGUCGAGGACUUGACCAAU